This 24-nucleotide non-coding RNA is filed under the name Arabidopsis thaliana (thale cress). Lineage: Eukaryota; Viridiplantae; Streptophyta; Magnoliopsida; Brassicales; Brassicaceae. The record is from RNAcentral.
UGUGGGAUACGCGCCUUGCCCUUC